RNAcentral lists this ribosomal RNA (274 nucleotides) under uncultured bacterium. RNAcentral's name for it is "partial 16S ribosomal RNA". It matches the Rfam family "Bacterial small subunit ribosomal RNA", at positions 523 to 796 of the family's 1533-position model. The record is from RNAcentral.
AUACGGAGGGUGCAAGCGUUACUCGGAAUCACUGGGCGUAAAGGAUGCGUAGGCGGGUUGUCAAGUCAGAUGUGAAAUCCUACAGCUUAACUGUAGAACUGCAUUUGAAACUGGCAACCUAGAGUAUGGGAGGGGGAGAUGGAAUUAGUGGUGUAGGGGUAAAAUCCGUAGAUAUCACUAGGAAUACCGAAAGCGAAGGCGAUCUCCUGGAACAUAACUGACGCUAAGGCGUGAAAGCGUGGGGAGCAAACGGGAUUAGAAACCCUAGUAGUCC